UACGAGCCCAGACGAUCCGGGCCAGAGGUUGAGGGCUGGAUGCACCUAGGUGUAGUAGUCGAGCGACACCUAACGGACAAAGGGAGCUGCUGCAACUCCUGUGGGAUGCUGAUACUGAGAGGAUGUUAUGCAGACACUUUGAUCUCUGAGGCAAGAAACCAGAGGUAGCCUGCAGAUCAGUCCGUCCUUGAGGCUUGAGAUGAUGAAACCGGUGCACUGAGCGGGGCUGAAACUCAGGCGCUUGAUGGAAUGCCAGCUUAGAUUAGUUUUCGGGCAAGUGCCACAAAACAUCUGUCUUUAUUUCUUUGGGACAAAAUCUGACAUUUGCCUGCACUUGACCUACAGAGAGGUACGCUCUUUCAUGAUAUGAGCUCACGCUGAUUAAUUGCUGGUUUUCACUUGGUAUUGUGGUUGGAAAUAAUUGAGAAGAAUGACUUUUGGGGAUCAGAAAAAGGUUAUUUCAUCACUGUGAAAUGUUUUCAGCAUGAAGUUGAUUACUAUAAGAAGGUGAGAGUCUGUUACUAUAUUUCUCUGGGUUUAUUCUGUCCUUACUGCCCCUGCAUCACAGCCUAUUUCUCCUCAGCAUGACAAGUUACAUUCCUCUUGUGCCGAAAAAAGUGAUUCUAGUCAGCUGCCACUGAAGGGCAGCAUUGCCAAGCCAUAAAUCAAUAACACUGCAUACCAGUGUUUUUAUGGACUUGAAUUUAAAACAUAAAAUAGCUUGAUAUUGGUUGAAUAAUUAAAUUUAAAUACAUUCUGUUUUUUAUGUUCCGUGUGUUUAGCUUUUUAUAGUUUCUCUGUCCACUAUUGAUCUCAGAUGAAGAUCUUCCUUCUUUCUCUCCCGGGAAGUCACGUCUCCAUUGUUAGACUAUAAGAUAGUGAAAUCGAAGAGAAAAAGACAUUCAAAGUAACCCUCACAGGGCCUGUGACUGAGGGCUCAGCCUAAGCAUGUUUGCCACGCUUUUCAUCAGAGCAGAAGGCACAAUGACUUUGAGAGGCAGAUAAUUCAGGACUGGAAUAGUUAGGCACAUGCAUCUCACAUGCACCAUAAUUUCAGCCCAUUUUUAAAAAUGGCUCGUGUAUGUAAGAGGAAUUGCUUUAGGCUUUUCCCUCCAUCAAAUUUAAUUGUAAAUCAUUUGUCAUUGUUUGUUUUUGUGUGAAGAUGAGGUCAGGGGGCCCCGAGGAAAAGGUCAAACUUGACAUAAUGCCACUGUUUGAGUCACCUCCAUGUUUCCUUGUCUCAGAUGACACAACAUUAAAACCUGUGACAAUUAAAAUCAGUUUUGUCAU
Long non-coding RNA from Seriola aureovittata, 1290 nucleotides. RefSeq lists it as uncharacterized. Lineage: Eukaryota; Metazoa; Chordata; Actinopteri; Carangiformes; Carangidae. The transcript has 2 exons. The record is from RefSeq and is a predicted model, not a curated record.